Molecule: long non-coding RNA, 1164 nt
Filed under: Mus spicilegus (steppe mouse)
Lineage: Eukaryota; Metazoa; Chordata; Mammalia; Rodentia; Muridae
Description: lncRNA (ENSMSIG00000001326.1)
Source: RNAcentral
AAGGACAGAGCGCGUCGCUGGCCACCCGCGCCCGGCCCGCAAGACCUGUAGACCUCUCCCCACGCCCGCCCACCCUGCCAAGUUACCAGAGCGCUGGAGCCUGGAGGUGGCGCCCCAAGGCGGCGUGCUGGCGAGCUGCGGCCGAGCAGCCGGUGGCCUCAGCUCUGGUGCUCGUAUUAGCCAUGCAAAGUUAAUCCCGCCGCGUCACGCCGGCCGGCCGCCCGCCCAAGGCUGCGCCGUGCUCGGCCGAGCCGCAGUCUCCUCCCCGUUCCGCCCCCUCCGCCACGGGGUCCAGUACUGCGCGGGCUCCCGAGCGAGCCCUAUUCCCUUGACCUGUCAACUCUCCUCCAGCGCCGACGCUGAGGGGCGCAGCGUGGGUCCCAGGACACCGGCGACCUCUCUGCCGCGACCUGCGAGGGCGGCGAGAAAUAGACGUACAAAACCAGAAGACAAAAAUAAUCUCCACCCUGGAAGGGUUCUGCACUUGCAAGCAUAGCGCUGAAAUGUCCAUACCUCAAGUUCCGAAGGUCAGGUUGGGAGAAAACAGCGGGCGACAGUGUGCUGUUCCAGAUGACCCAGGCAGUCUUCCAGCUACGCCUUGGAGGUAGGUUUUAUUGGAAAAACGCAGAGUGCUCAGAGAACUCGCAGCCAAUGGGAAGUUAACAAUUGCGACAAAACUACUUUGAUUAAGGACCGAAUACAAUUAUGUUCUUAUGAACACUGUUAAAAAAAUACCUUGAAAAAUCUUUCUUCAACAUACUCUUGUAACACGGUAUAAAAGGGAAUGAUGUCUAGAUCAUUUUAAAGAGUUGUCUAGAUUUCCCCACGGGUGAUAAGGCCCCCCCGGGGGGGUUAUUUGGGCAGUCCACAGGAAAGGAGAAAGAAGAAAGGCCAACACACCUCCUGUCACAGCAUUAACAACUGUGGCAAGUCAGAAGCAGGACUCAGGAGAGAAAGCAGCUGCUAGAACGUUGCCUUUCCCGGCGGCCAGCACAGACUCGGCUGCCCUUUGAAUUCUUUGUAAGAAAUCCGUGUUUUAUUCCUCGCCCGGAAUGAAGCUUCACUAAGAACUUGCCGGCUCUAGAGUGAAGGUUGUUUUGCAGGCGAGUUCCUGGGCUUUGCUCCAAAGCUGCCUUGGGAGGUUUUGGUUGGUUUGGAGGAAAG